CGGCAUGCCUUACACAUGCAAGUCGAACGGGCAGCUACGGGAGCAAUCCUGGUGGCGAGUGGCGAACGGGUGAGUAAUAUAUCGGAACGUGCCCAGUCGUGGGGGAUAACGUAGCGAAAGUUACGCUAAUACCGCAUACGAUCUAAGGAUGAAAGCGGGGGAUCGCAAGACCUCGCGCGAUUGGAGCGGCCGAUAUCAGAUUAGGUAGUUGGUGAGGUAAAGGCUCACCAAGCCAACGAUCUGUAGCUGGUCUGAGAGGACGACCCAGCCACACUGGAACUGAGACACGGCCCAGACUCCUACGGGAGGCAGCAGUGGGGAAUUUUGGACAAUGGGCGCAAGCCUGAUCCAGCAAUGCCGCGUGCAGGAUGAAGGCCUUCGGGUUGUAAACUGCUUUUGUACGGAACGAAACGGUGAGCUCUAAUACAGUUUGCUAAUGACGGUACCGUAAGAAUAAGCACCGGCUAACUACGUG
Molecule: ribosomal RNA, 475 nt
Filed under: uncultured bacterium
Lineage: Bacteria
Description: bacterial SSU rRNA
Rfam family: Bacterial small subunit ribosomal RNA
Source: RNAcentral